RNAcentral lists this ribosomal RNA (273 nucleotides) under uncultured bacterium. RNAcentral's name for it is "partial 16S ribosomal RNA". It matches the Rfam family "Bacterial small subunit ribosomal RNA", at positions 524 to 796 of the family's 1533-position model. The record is from RNAcentral.
UACGAAUGGUGCAAGCGUUAAUCGGAAUUACUGGGCGUAAAGCGCGCGUAGGUGGUUUGUUAAGUUGGAUGUGCAAGCCCCGGGCUCAACCUGGGAACUGCAUCCAAAACUGGCAAGCUAGAGUAUGGCAGAGGGUGGUGGAAUUUCCUGUGUAGCGGUGACAUGCGUAGAUAUAGGAAGGAACACCAGUGGCGAAGGCGACCACCUGGGCUAAUACUGACACUGAGGUGCGAAAGCGUGGGGAGCACACAGGAUGAGAUCACACGGUAGUCC